Non-coding RNA from Podarcis muralis (Common wall lizard), 6122 nucleotides. Lineage: Eukaryota; Metazoa; Chordata; Lepidosauria; Squamata; Lacertidae. The record is from RefSeq and is a predicted model, not a curated record.
UCAGUAUGUUUAUCAUGUGCACUAUUUUAACCAACUGUGUGUUCAUGGCAUGGUCUGAACUCCCUCCUUGGAACAAAUACGUUGAGUAUACCUUCACCGGUAUUUACACUUUUGAAUCAUUGAUAAAAAUUCUGGCGAGAGGAUUUUGUAUGACGGAAUUCACCUUCCUCCGGGACCCAUGGAACUGGCUAGAUUUUUCUGUUAUUGUCAUGGCAUACAUAACUGAAUUUGUGGACCUGGGCAAUGUAUCAGCCUUACGAACGUUCAGAGUUCUUCGCGCGCUGAAAACAAUCUCAGUCAUUUCAGGUUUGAAGACCAUCGUAGGUGCCCUUAUCCAGUCAGUUAAGAAACUUGCCGAUGUGAUGAUCUUGACCGUUUUUUGCUUGAGUGUUUUCGCCCUCAUAGGGCUCCAACUCUUCAUGGGAAAUCUGAGGCAGAAGUGUGUCCGGAAGUUUAACACCACCAUUAACGGCACAUUCAUACCGGACGAGGCGAGGUGGCCAUCCUUAGAUGCUUUUUUAAAUGAUGCAGAUAACUACUUCAAAAAAGAGGGCACCAUGGACGCACUACUUUGUGGCAACAGCACGGAUGCUGGUUCAUGUCCGGACGAUUACAUCUGUCUAAAGGCUGGUGACAAUCCUGACUUUGGGUACACAAGCUUUGAUACCUUUGGCUGGGCCUUCCUCUCCUUGUUUCGCCUCAUGACGCAGGAUUGCUGGGAACGCCUCUAUCAACAGACGCUUAGAUCUGCUGGCAAGAUCUACAUGCUGUUUUUCAUGCUGGUCAUCUUUCUGGGCUCCUUUUACCUGAUCAACUUGAUCUUGGCUGUGGUGGCCAUGGCCUACGAAGAGCAGAACCAGGCCACCAUUGCCGAAAUGGAAGCGAAGGAGAGGAAGUUUCAAGAAGCCAUGGAGGCUCUCAAGAAAGAGCAGGAGGCAUUAGCCCGAGGAAUCGAUUCGAUGUCACUUAGCUCAUUUGAAAUGUCACCUUUGGCAUCGAAAAAUUCCAAGGAACGAAGAAGCCGGAGAAGAAAGAAGAAAUCCUCAGCGGGAGAAGAGGAUGGGGAAGAUCAGAAAGGUCCAAAAUCUGAAUCGGAGGAUGGUCAGCAGAGGACGACUGUGCUGGGUUUUACUUCUGGGUCCAUGGAAAACUCCGUGAAGCGCAAGGCCAGCCACGGGAGCGUCUUCAGCUUCCGGUUGCGCAGCAGGGACCUUGGCUCAGAGGCGGACUUCGCCGAUGACGAUAUCAGCACCGUCGGGGAGAGCGAGAGCCAGCGUGGGUCCCUACUGGUCCCCAGGAGCGGGAGGCGGCUGAGCGUGCAGAGCCAAACCAGCCACAGCUCUCCAAACUACACGCAAAAUGGCAAGAGGAACAGCUCGGUGGAUUGCAACGGUGUGGUUUCACUGAUUGGAGGAGGAGGAGGAGGAAGCACGGACCCAACGACUCCGACAGACGUGCUGUUGCCACCAGUUAUUACGGAGAAACCUGGAACAGGUGACACGACCACUCCAUCUGAAGAAGUGAACAAGAAGCAGCUUCUGUCACCCCACCGCCUUUCUGUGGAUCAAUCUGAGGAACGUUUCCAAAGGCAACGAGCUGUGAGUGCUGUCAGCAUCAUUACCAGUGCCAUGGAAGAGCUUGAGGAAUCCCAACAGAAGUGUCCCCCCUGCUGGAAUCAUUUUGCCGUCCGCUUUCUCAUUUGGGAGUGUUGCCCGCUGUGGCUGCUGAUCAAGAAGAAAGUGAGGUUCAUCAUCAUGGACCCGUUCAGUGACCUCACCAUCACCCUUUGCAUUGUGAUGAACACUCUUUUCAUGGCCAUGGAUCACUACAAGAUGACGGAGGAAUUUGAGAACGUGCUCAACAUCGGUAAUCUGGUCUUCACUGGGAUUUUUACGGCUGAAAUGGUCUUCAAACUCAUAGCUCUGGAUCCCUAUUACUACUUUCAGCAGGGCUGGAAUAUUUUUGACAGUAUAAUUGUCACGCUAAGCCUGAUGGAACUAAGUCUUUCCAGCAUGGGAAAUGUGUCUGUGUUACGCUCCUUCAGACUGCUGAGGGUCUUCAAGCUCGCGAAGUCUUGGCCGACCUUAAACACUCUCAUUAAAAUCAUCGGGAACUCUGUGGGCGCUCUGGGGAACCUCACUCUCGUUCUCGCCAUCAUCGUCUUCAUUUUCGCCGUGGUUGGCAUGCAGCUCUUUGGGGACCUGUACUACAAGCACGUCACAAGAAUCAGCACCACGGAUCGGUUGCCCCGCUGGCACAUGAACGACUUCUUCCAUUCCUUCCUCAUCAUCUUCCGCAUCCUCUGUGGCGAAUGGAUCGAGACCAUGUGGGACUGUAUGAAAGUGGCCGGGCAGCCUCUGUGUCUUCUGGUCUUUUUACUGGUCAUGGUGAUUGGCAACCUGGUGGUGUUGAACCUGUUCCUUGCCUUGCUGUUGAGCUCCUUCAGUGCCGAUAACCUUUCCGCUCCGGAUGAAGACGGGGAGAUGAACAACCUGCAGCUCGCCUUUGCGCGCAUCAACAGGGGGCUCAAUUACGCCAAACGCGCCAUGUGGGAUUUCUGUUGCAGCGUCCUCAGGCAGCCGAAGGCGACGGCUGAAAAAAAAGCCAUGAUGAAGCUUGCAGCUCAGAACCCAGCCGUCGUCCACAACUGCGUCAACAACCACACGGGCAUGGAGUUUGGCAAGGAAGAGGACCACCACAAGGAGAACCACACUGGUGGCGACGGGGUUGAGGGAAACCGGGAGAAGCAGCAGGUGGACCACAACGAUGACUUCAUGACCAACCCAAACUUGUCCAUCUGUGUCCCCAUUGCUCCGGGAGAGUCUGACAUUGAGGAUGAUGAGCAGAGCACAUUUACGGAAACGGACCAGGACAAACAACAGCAACUGAAAGGGCAGCGCUACAAAAGCCCAGCUGUUCGGAGUCAGGCCUCUGAGAUUUGCGAAGAGUUAAGUGAGUUGCAAACGGACAAACAGUCAAAGGACGAGCCUCCGGUCCCGCCAGUAGGGGAACAAGAGAAGUUUGAUGAAAUCAGUCUGUCGGAAGGAAGCACAGUGGACCUGGCAAUCCCGCCAGAGCUUCUGGAGCAGAUGCCUGAGCUGGCAGAAGAGAUGAUGGAACCAGAAGACUGUUUCCCAGAACCUUGUGUCCGAUUCUUCCCGUGCUGUUCAGUAGACACCACAAAAUUUCCUGGCAAGAUUUGGUGGAGACUGAGGAAAACGUGCUACCAAAUAGUUGAACACAGCUGGUUUGAAACUUUCAUCAUAUUUAUGAUUCUCCUGAGCAGUGGAGCUCUGGCAUUUGAAGACAUCUACCUCGACAAGAAAAAGAACAUUAAAACCAUGUUGGAAUAUGCUGACAAGAUCUUCACUUACAUCUUUGUUCUAGAGAUGCUUCUGAAAUGGGUAGCUUAUGGCUUUAAGAAGUACUUCACCAAUGCCUGGUGUUGGCUUGAUUUCCUCAUUGUAGAUAUUUCAGUUAUUUGCCAGAUAGGAUCAAUUCUCGGCUAUGACCACCUGGCCGCUAUGAAAUCCCUCAGGACGCUGAGGGCCUUGAGGCCCCUCCGAGCCCUGUCCCGAUUUGAGAGCAUAAGGGUCUCAUUAGUAAGCCUCAUAGCUAGUACACUUGGAUACUCCGAAAUGGGUCCCAUUAAAUCCCUUAGGACCCUCAGAGCUCUGAGACCCUUAAGAGCACUAUCACGAUUUGAAGGGAUGAGGGUGGUGGUCAAUGCUUUGGUAGGCGCCAUCCCUUCUAUCAUGAACGUCCUGCUUGUCUGCCUUAUCUUCUGGCUCAUCUUCAGCAUCAUGGGAGUCAACUUGUUUUCUGGGAAGUUUGGGAAAUGCAUUAACAACACGAUAGGUGAUGACCCUAUGAACCAAACAUUGGUCAACAACAAGAGCGAUUGCCAAAACUUGAAUGAGACUGGAGAGCUGUACUGGACAAAAGUGAGGGUCAACUUUGAUAAUGUUGGCGCAGGCUACCUGGCUCUGCUGCAGGUGGCAACUUUUAAAGGUUGGAUGGAAAUUAUGUAUGCUGCGGUGGAUUCACGAGAGCGUGAGGAGCAGCCCGUCUGGGAAUAUAACUUGUACAUGUACCUCUACUUUGUGAUCUUUAUCAUCUUUGGCUCCUUCUUCACUCUGAAUCUCUUCAUCGGUGUUAUCAUUGACAAUUUCAAUCAGCAAAAGAAAAAGUUAGGUGGACAAGACAUCUUUAUGACGGAGGAACAGAAAAAAUAUUACAAUGCCAUGAAAAAACUGGGAUCCAAGAAACCCCAAAAACCCAUCCCACGGCCAGUGAACAAGUAUCAAGGCUUCAUUUUUGAUGCCGUCUUGAAUCAAGCCUUUGAUGUCUGCAUCAUGCUCCUCAUCUGCCUCAACAUGGUCACCAUGAUGGUGGAAACGGAUGACCAGAGCCCAGAAAAAGUGAACAUCCUUUACAAAAUCAACAUGGUCUUUGUUGCCAUCUUCACUGCAGAGUGCAUAUUAAAAAUGGUGGCUCUGAGGCACUACUAUUUCACCAACGGGUGGAACAUUUUUGAUUUUGUCGUCGUAAUUCUAUCAAUAGUGGGCUCUGUACUUUCUGACAUCAUCCAGAAAUACUUCUUCUCCCCUACCCUCUUCAGAGUCAUUCGCUUGGCUCGGAUUGGCCGGAUCCUGAGACUUAUAAGAGGGGCCAAAGGAAUCCGAACUCUUCUCUUUGCCUUAAUGAUGUCCCUCCCUGCGUUGUUCAACAUCGGCCUCCUGCUUUUCCUGGUCAUGUUCAUUUAUGCCAUUUUCGGCAUGGCCAACUUUGCCUACGUUAAGCAAGAGCACGGGAUCGACGACAUGUUCAACUUCCAGACGUUUCCCAACAGCAUGCUCUGUCUCUUCCAAAUCACUACAUCCGCCGGCUGGGAUGGUCUCCUCAGCCCCAUUUUGAACACCGGGCCGCCAUAUUGUGAUCCAAGCCAUAUCAACACAAAUGGCUCGAGGGGAAACUGUGGCAGCCCCGCAGUGGGAAUUCUGUUCUUUGUUACUUAUAUCAUUAUAUCCUUUCUCAUUGUUGUAAACAUGUACAUAGCUAUUAUUUUAGAGAACUUCAGUGUCGCUACUGAAGAGAGCACAGAGCCUCUAAGCGAGGACGACUUUGAUAUGUUUUAUGAAAUAUGGGAGAAAUUUGACCCCGAAGCCACUCAGUUUAUUGAGUACGCCGCGCUUUCCAACUUCGCGGACGCUCUGUCAGAACCUUUACGCAUUGCGAAACCAAAUAAGAUCAAGCUCAUAGCUAUGGACCUCCCCAUGGUGAGUGGGGACAGGAUCCAUUGCUUAGAUAUUUUGUUUGCUUUCACCAAAAGAGUGCUGGGGGAGUCUGGGGAGAUGGACGCCCUCAAGAUACAGAUGGAGGAGAAAUUCAUGGCUGCCAACCCCUCGAAGAUUUCUUACGAACCCAUCACAACCACGCUCAGGCGGAAACAGGAAGAAAUUUCUGCCAUCGUCAUUCAGAGAGCCUACAGGAGCCAUCUCUUCCAACGCACCCUCAAGCAGGCCUCCUUCCUAUACCGCCAAAAAGCCUGCCACCUAGGGGAGGACGCUCCCGAGAGGGAAGGCCUCAUUGCGUUCAUGAUGAGCGAGAACUAUGGGAGGCCGAUAAACAAGUCAGAAACUCUGUCCUCCACCUCCUUCCCUCCUUCCUACGACAGCGUCACCAGGGGCACCAGCGACAACUUCCAGCUAAGGUUGACCGACUCUAGCAAAAGCGACGAGCAUCUAGACGACCAGCUGUCGCCCGACAGAGACAAAGAGUCGAUGGUUUAAAAAAAUAUAUAUUGAGUUUUUCAUUUAGGACACUUUAAGAAUAUUGUUUACAGAAUGUAACCACACAACAGUUGAAGCAGCCUUGUUAAACAUUAGUUGCAAAGGACGCAGGAAGGGAGGUCAGCCCUGCAGCAGGAGACACCCGCCUGGAAUCAUCAGCCGCUUCCUGGCAGUUGAUAACCAAGGGAGCACAGAAGGAAGGAAGUGACGUCACAUAAAGCAAGACAUGGGUUGCAUUUUAUUUUUAUUUUUGUUCUAUCCUGCAGGAUAUUAGACACUAAUGGAUUCUGCUUGUAAACCUGCCAAUAAAAGCACUAUUUUUUUACCAUG